This 278-nucleotide ribosomal RNA is filed under the name uncultured prokaryote. RNAcentral describes it as "partial 16S ribosomal RNA". It matches the Rfam family "Bacterial small subunit ribosomal RNA", at positions 524 to 800 of the family's 1533-position model. The record is from RNAcentral.
UACGUAGGUGGCGAGCGUUGUCCGGAAUUACUGGGCGUAAAGGGCGCGUAGGCGGAUAUUUAAGUCAGAUGUGAAAACUCCGGGCUCAACUUGGAGAUUGCAUUUGAAACUGGGUAUCUUGAGGACAGGAGAGGAAAGCGGAAUUCCUAGUGUAGCGGUGAAAUGCGUAGAUAUUAGGAGGAACACCAGUGGCGAAGGCGGCUUUCUGGACUGUAACUGACGCUGAGGCGCGAAAGCGAGGGUAGCAAACGGGGAUUAGAUACCCCUGUAGUCCCUGA